AGCGAACGCUGGCGGCAGGCUUAACACAUGCAAGUCGAGCGGGCAUCCUUGUGGUGUCCGCGGCAGACGGGUGAGUAACGCGUGGGAACGUGCCCUUCGGUUCGGAAUAACUCAGGGAAACUUGAGCUAAUACCGGAUACGCCCUUUUGGGGAAAGGUUUACUGCCGAAGGAUCGGCCCGCGUCUGAGUAGCUAGUUGGUGAGGUUAUGGCUCACCAAGGCGACGAUCAGGAGCUGGUCUGAGAGGAUGCUCAGCCACACUUGGACUGAGACACGGCCCAGACUCCUACGGGAGGGAGCAGUGGGGUAUAUUGGACAAUGGGGGCAACCCUGAUCCAGCCAUGCCGCGUGAGUGAUGACGGCCUUAGGGUUGUAAAGCUCUUUUCUCCGGGACGAUAAUGACGGUACCGGAGGAAUAAGCCCCGGCUAACUUCGUG
Molecule: ribosomal RNA, 436 nt
Filed under: uncultured bacterium
Lineage: Bacteria
Description: partial 16S ribosomal RNA
Rfam family: Bacterial small subunit ribosomal RNA
Source: RNAcentral